GAUGAGGUGGUGGAUGGUUAAUGCAUGGGCUCAGAAGCCUAAGGACCUGGGUUCAAACCCAGCUUUGUCC
Molecule: transfer RNA, 70 nt
Filed under: Equus caballus (horse)
Lineage: Eukaryota; Metazoa; Chordata; Mammalia; Perissodactyla; Equidae
Rfam family: tRNA
About the family: Transfer RNA (tRNA) molecules are approximately 80 nucleotides in length. Their secondary structure includes four short double-helical elements and three loops (D, anti-codon, and T loops).
Source: Rfam by way of RNAcentral